GAACAGUGUAUGAACUUGAAAGGUGCUGCAUUGCAUCCUCUGUCACAUUGUGAGAAAGUCUGGGAGGCACAUCUCAGAUCCUGGCAUGCAAAAACAAGUGAGGUGAAGGCCAUACAAUUUUUGCAUUGCUAAUAAAAACUCAUAGCAUAAAGUCAUCCUGCUUUUGGGCUGGUCUGUGAUUGAUUUUCUGUUUUGAAAAUACCAGAUAAUCCAUAAAAAUAAUCUGUAGAAACUGCAAGCCACAACUCCUACUUGCAUUUCCUUUUCUUUUUUAAAGGAACCCAGUUUGCUGGGGGAGAGGGGGUUAAAUCCAUUCCUCCAUCAGAUCUGGUAGAAUAGCUUAGAAGCAUGUCUGUGAUCAAAGCACCAAACCUUGGCAGAGGUUUGUCAAAAGCACUAAAGGUAUAUUAACCCAAAUACAGCUUCUAAUGGGAAGCUAAGGUUUAAACCCCCCACCCAAAAAAAAAUCUGAAGAGGAAAUAGCAAUGGCUGUGCAAUGCAAAGAAGAAAGCUACAAUCAACUCUGAUAAGUAGAGUCAUGGAUUUUCCUAAAACACAUUUCUAUUUAUCUCCUAUGUUCCAUAUCCAGAAUAAACAUGUAGUAACUGACAGAACUGAUGUCUCCCUAUUUUUUGUUGUGUUUCUGCAAAUAGAACAUUAUGAUGUUCAGUACUGACCAAACCUGCUUAAUGAACAACACAUCCUCUGUGGAACAUAGGUCUGCAUGACAAGAUAGAAAGGGUGAUGGCCUACAAUUCGGGAAGGUAUUGGAGAUGGUUGGCACAGAGAACACCUUAAUCAUAAAAUGGUUGUGUUUGUCUGACUUGCAGCUAAGCCCUUAAUUGACUAAAUUAACUGAAUUUCUGCAAUACAACCACCUCACUGAUCUCUGCCUACAGUGGUUUCCAGAAGAACUAAUAUAAUAUAUCAGUACUUAGUCAUGAAAACAUCCAUUAAUGAGUGAGACUUAUUCUGUAAUGUAUUUGGUCCCCCACCACAUCUCAAAAGUUUUAACAUUUGUAUAUUACUCUAGUGGUUUGGGGUUUUUGUUUUAUAGAAAAAAGUACAGAGUAUUUCACAGUGAUCAUCUCAGCCAUAAGAAGAGCCUGCUGGAUCAGGCCAAUAGCCCAUCUAGUCCAGCAUCCUGUUCCCAUCAUGGCCAGAUGAAAUGGGAUCAGAUGCAUUAAACUCUGCAGGCUUCAAUUUGGGAGACCAAACAUUGAGAAAAAUGUAUGCCUAAGACUUUUACAGGAACAUAUUCCAGAUUCUUGGAGAUUCUUUUUUUUUCAUCUUCUAUAAAAGAGACUAUUUAUGACAAGCUUAUUAUAUUCAGAGACAGGUAGAGUAUAACUUCAUAUAAUGAGAACAUGAGGGCCUUUAGAUAUUCUAAUGUUAAGUGUUCCCAGUAAGUCAGAAAAAUUCUCUGCUCACAAAGGUGAUUUACUAUUCUCCAUUGCCCAGGGUAGAUUGCCCCUUUAAGCAGGUAAGAGCAUAAUUUAAGGCUGAGGGCAGAUAACAGGGCUUUCCCCUCCCCCUUGAGAACAGAGGGGAGCUUGAACAUAUGUUUAGGGGGGUGGAGUUUGAGUGGUUCAUGUGCAUAAUAACUGGCCAUUGUGCACAUUCACCAGGCCUCUUAGAGAAUGUGCACAUAAUCCUUUCAUGAAGAGGGAAUUGUACAAUGCGCCCUAUGUGGGGCUGCUCUUGGGUCUGGUUCAGAAGCUCCAGCUGGUGCAGAAUGCAGCAGCCAGACUGCUGAUGGGGGCAUCUGGCCAGGAACACAUGGCACCCAUUGUUAAAACAGCUGCACUGGCUGCCCAUUUACUACUGAGCCAGGUUUAAGGUCCUUGUAUUAAUUUGCAAAGCUUAGAACAACUUAGGUACCUUUGGGAUUGCCUGAAUCCUUAUAUCCCAGCUCAGUCGCUCAGAUCUUCUGCAAGAGCUUCAUUCAUUGAGUUUCAGAAGCUCAUUUGAUAACAACAACAAAUGCAGUCUUUAGUGUCUUUGGUCCGGUAUUGUGGAAUACUCAGCCGGUGCCUUCUGUUUCAACUGACUCAGUAUAAGGCAACUUCCUAUGUUUCUUACACUUGUAGAGUCCAUUCUUUUACUUAAAGCAUAUGUUUGAAAGUUGAUACAGUUCUUUGUUGACACCUUUUUGGUCAAUAAAUAUGAAGCAAACAUGAAAAGGAAUUAAAUUUGUGUAAAUAUCUUCCACAUCCCAACUCUCAAAGUGCAAUGGGUUUGUUUGUUUUAAAAAAGUUAGUGUUUGCUUUGGGCUGGUUUUGUGGCACCCUGUUACUGCUAGUGAUAGUAACGUAAGCAACCAAAUUAAAAUGGAACUGAUUGACAGAGCUGUCAGGUUACUUAUUCUGCUGAGCUAUGAGUUUGUCAUACCACUUAGAUUAAGAAGCCAUGCCUAGCUAGAAUUUGAAUGGGAAGACAUUUGGGAUCCAGCAAGGGAAUGGUGCUGAUGAUAAAUCCACUCCUUUCUGCCAUGUUGAUCAACAAUAUGCUUUCAAGAAAGCAUUUGAGUGCUCCACUAUUUUAAUUUGCUUGCUGAUCAGGUUUUCCUCUCCUGUACAAUCCUUGUUUCUUUUUUUGAAAUCAUUUCUUCUCUGUUCCUUUAACUUUGCUCUUCCUCACUUGGGCUGCAUUCACAUGGCAGUUCUGUUUUCACGACUUUCCCUUAACUUAAAUUCUGAAUUAUAUUUGUGUUUUCAUGUGACUUAAAAGCUACUUCUGGAAACAUAGUGGAAUAUAGUGCAAGUUUAGCGCUCAUUCCCAUUUUAUUUGCUUCUGGGGGAAAAAACAUAUGCAAAUAAUAUGAAAAUGACCAUUAAACUUGCAUUAUAUUCCAAUAUAGUUCCACUAUAUUCAAUUCAGUUCAUAUUGAAAGGUAAACCCACCUAAUUCAUGCUUUGUGAAGCAAUACAUGAACUGAAACUUAACCAUCUUUCAAAAAUCACACUUUCCCGAAUUUUGUAAUGCUGUUCUCUAGACACUUUAGUAUAUGAAUUUUGUAUCACCAUCAAUUCUUGCCAUUGUGAAGGGUUCCUGUGCUUGUUUUUCAUACAUCCAGCUUCUCAGCCCAUCUCUUUCCCCCCCAUUCUGUUGUAUCCUUUGCCUCUGUAGAAGUUGAUGCCUAACAGCAAGGGAAGAUUGCUUCCAUUUUUAAGUAUGCGUAAAAGAGCAUAUAUUAAUGCAAAUAACAUACAACUGCAGUAUAUUAGGGUAAAGUCCUUUGCAAAUAUGUGUAUAUAGGGAGAAAUUUGUACUAACAUGCAGAUGCAAUUUUAUGUGGACUUCUAACAUUUUUUAACAGAAUCACAAAUGAAUGUGGAAAUAUGAUGAAAUGACCUUAAAGACUGGGAAAAUUAAAAAAUGAGAGGAGCCAAAAUCCCUAGCAGCAAUAUUCUUAAGAGGGUAAAUGCAACUCCUACAAAAGCCCAUAGCAGAAAUAAAACUCCACAGUAUUAACCUUCAAAUAAUACUUGUAUUGGCAUAUAUUUGACUAAGUAAUGUGCUGAGAUCAAAAUAAAAUGCACCUUAGUAAGCAAAUGUAAACAAAGUCUCCCAUAUUUUAUCAAUUCAAUGCAGUUUUUAAAUGGUUGCAUGGGAGAUUUCCAAAUAUGUGCUUUGCGCAAAUUUGCUACUGUAUACAGUUGCUUGAGAAAGUCUUCAUGCAGGACUGACUUUAAUGGAUGCACUGUCUAGUUUUCAUAACUGUUUUUGGUAUCUGAGGGGUGCAAACCAGUGAACAAUAGAGGCCUGAGUUUGCUUUGUGUGAGACUACAAGGAUCACUCUAAAAGUUUAUUGUAUGUUACUAGCAGUACUGUACAUCAUUAGACAUGGGAUAAAUUGUUGCCAGUUUGCAACACUGCACUGGGGCUUCUUUUAAUGUACCAUGUAAACUUUAGCACAGUCUUUUGCUUCUGUAUUUAUGAUGCUUUCUUCCCAAUAAGUGUUCCAGCACAGUAAUUGCUAGUCUUUCAGACAAUCCUUAUUACAAACAAAUUAAGUUGUUUCAAGCCAUGGUGCACCUAACGUUACAUGGGUUGAUAUAAAUCACAUUUAAUGAGUUUCCUCAUUAUUCAGAGUUUGCAGCCAGUGUGAACAGGAAGCAAACAGCCAGGCAGUAAUCAAUGUUAUAAUAUAUUCCCUGUCUAUUAAUAGCAGCUCUGCUUUGGUCUCGUAAGACUGGACUUGGAGUGUACAGUGGUACCUUGGGUUACAGAUGCUUCAGGUUACAGACUCCGCUAACCCAGAAAUAGCACCUCGGGUUAAGAACUUCGCUUCAGGAUGAGAACAGAAAUUGCACGGCGGUGGGAGGCCCCAUUAGCUAAAGUGGUACCUCAGGUUAAGAACAGUUUCAGGUUAAGAACGGACCUCCAGAACGAAGUUCUUAAUCCGAGGUACCACUGUACUUCUGCAGUGGUAGGUUUAACUACCAACGCUUGGCAUGUUAUAGAUUUUGUAUCUUCAGGGGCAUUUCUUGAAUAACUUUCCCACGUGCUAUACCACCAAGAGAUUUCAACAGUAGCUUAUGAUGUAAUGUAGAUGGUGGAUACAUGGGACACAGCCUUCUUGGCUGUGGCCCACACAUUCAGAUUUGGCUCACACAUAAUGCCAAACCAUGAGUCAUCAGACUAUGGUUUAUGAAACCAUGGUCAAGUGUUAUAUGUGUCAUGGAAUGCUACUCAAUAUUGAUCCAGAGUAGAUUCCAAUGUAUAGUUAGCGGAGUAAAAAAUUAAACACGUUGCAGAAUUCCCAAAAAAAUAGACCAGAGGCAAUUGUAUUUCAUCCAGCAGAGCUUUACUGCUACUGAAGGCAAAUGAGCAUAAUGGUUACAAAUCCAGUACAUUCAGGAUUGGCACUGACCAUAAGAAAUCCAGUUGCAGCAGAAUUAAACUUACAAUAACUUAUAAGUCUAAAUCUUAACACUAAGCAUGCUAUGUACAGAACACCACACCAGAAGGAAGAGAGAUAGAAAGAGAAAGUGAAACCUUCCAGCCUUACUUUUGUAGUCAGCAUGACCUUGACAGAAAAGAUAACAGAACCAGUUUAAGCCGAGUGUAUUCAGCUUCUCUGAAGGAAUAACCCAAACAUCAUGAACCUCCUGCUUGUUUCUUUCACACAGAGAAGCUUCCAGAACCCUCUUGAAUUAAUUAGAAUAGGAAAGAUCUCUACACAUUAUAUAAAUACUUUAUGCACUAAGAAAUGCAAACUGACAAUAUGUGAACGCAGCCCUGCAGCUUAACUAUUGUUUGCUUUCUGCCAAUAAAGCAUUAUCUGAAGCCAUGGUUUGUUGUUGGCUUAAGAACUUCAGUUUGUUUUAACUACUGCUUGGUGUUACAUAUGAACCCAACACCCUAGGUUCUCACCAAGCUACAAAGGCCUGAGGCAAGAGCAGCUGGAAAAUGAAACAAGCUUUGGAGAAAUGAACCAUAGUUUGUUUGAUCAGCUGCGGGGGACAACUUGGGGUUAACCCGAAAUUGGUUAAAUGCACCAUGACCUAAACAAAGCGUGGCUUAACACUGUGUGUGAACCAGGUCUCAGACUCUUUACCUCAGAUAACUCAUCUUGCUCUGUCUCUUUCAACUGUUUAUAGGUUACAAUCAUAGAGUUGCUGAGUUGAAAAGUGUCUUGGAAAACAUCUAAUCCACCCCACCCUCCCGCUCAAUGCAGGAUUUGCAAUGCAAGGUGCAACAGCAUCUUCCUUAUGCACAGAUCUUUUUCCUGCAUCUCUUUCUGGCGCUGCCAACAGGAAUGAAAAGGAAGAUUCAAGGGAGUCCAGGCCUCUUUUAAAUGCCAGGGGAUUACUCCAGCUGCUUAGUAUGACAAUCCCCAUAUAACAGUUAGCACUCCCUUACACAGACCAAGAACGUUUUUCAAAAGAUAAAGGUUGGGCAUGAGCCAUUAAUCAUGGGACUUGCAGUUAUCUUUCACCAGUGAGAAAGAAAGGAAUUGGUUGCUCAAGGAGAAAAUAGGGAACUCUCGCUGGGAGGGGGAAAAUCUUUUUUAAAAAUCGGAAAUAAAAUAGGACACUCCAAGCUCUUUGUUUUGCUUCCAAAAAUCUUAUCAGAGCAGAUGCAGAAUAAAAUUUUGGCUGUGCUAUAAAUAAUAAAACUUAUCUUCUCAUUAUGAGGGCCACAGCAUGGUAAGGAAUCCACGCCCCAGGGUGUUACAAAAUAUAUAGUCUGGACAAGAUGUUUUCAUUCCUAGGUUUUUAUUUUUAGCUUUUUAUAUAGACGUGUUGGUUAGU
This 6260-nucleotide long non-coding RNA is filed under the name Podarcis lilfordi (Lilford's wall lizard). The record is from RNAcentral. Lineage: Eukaryota; Metazoa; Chordata; Lepidosauria; Squamata; Lacertidae.